UCUGCAGCCCGUCGCCUCCAUGCCACCGCGGCCGUCGCCCGUCGCGUCCAGGCCGCCGCGGCAGUCACCCCUCGCCUCCAGGCCGCCGUCGCCGCGAACCUAGUCGCCGUCGUCGCCCCAUCGCCCCUCGCCGCCAUGCCGCCGCAGCCCGCAACCCCGUGCCGCGCCGCUGUACGUCUUCUCCAGGAAGUCGAUGCUCGCAAGGCAUGCCCAGUCCACCAUGCUCGCCUUCAGGAAGCCGGUCGCAAGGCAAUCUGGCUGCCUUUUUCUAUGUUGUCUGUCUUGCAAUUCCAAGUAGGAAUUUUUGCUUCCAAUUUGUGGUGUUACGGCUGGAAUGUGCAUCAUUUCUAGCACUAAUUUGGCUAUUGGUUUCUGACUGUUGCAGAUUUGGUUGUUGGUUUUUGACUGUUGAAGGCAAGGAGAAAAGGAUUGAUCUGGAGAAAAAUUGGUGGAUAUGUUGUUUCAAAUUGUAACCAAUUAUGGUUGUAUGUAUUAUUAAAUGAGGAUGAAUACAAUUGUUUCAGUGAAAAAUUGUGACCAGUUUGCAACUACCAGAUGAC
RNAcentral lists this long non-coding RNA (560 nucleotides) under Setaria italica (foxtail millet). RNAcentral's name for it is "long non-coding RNA (SITA_LNC005159)". The record is from RNAcentral. Lineage: Eukaryota; Viridiplantae; Streptophyta; Magnoliopsida; Poales; Poaceae.